AAAACUGAAUUUGUGCAAGAUGUAAGGGAAGGCAGUUAUAAAUCUGCCGCUGCCCCGCAACUGUAACGGGGACGAAACCUGUAUGCAUGCCACUGUCCGUUUGUGGCGGAUGGGAAGGCACAGGGAGUAGGAUGAACCGGUAGCCAGGAGACCUAUCUUGCACGUUAACGUCAU
This 174-nucleotide non-coding RNA is filed under the name Planctomycetota bacterium. The record is from RNAcentral. Lineage: Bacteria; Pseudomonadati; Planctomycetota.